Transfer RNA from Ovis aries (sheep), 73 nucleotides. It matches the Rfam family "tRNA". From Rfam's summary of the family: Transfer RNA (tRNA) molecules are approximately 80 nucleotides in length. Their secondary structure includes four short double-helical elements and three loops (D, anti-codon, and T loops). Further hydrogen bonds mediate the characteristic L-shaped molecular structure. tRNAs have two regions of fundamental functional importance: the anti-codon, which is responsible for specific mRNA codon recognition, and the 3' end, to which the tRNAs corresponding amino acid is attached (by aminoacyl-tRNA synthetases). tRNAs cope with the degeneracy of the genetic code in two manners: having more than one tRNA (with a specific anti-codon) for a particular amino acid; and 'wobble' base-pairing, i.e. permitting non-standard base-pairing at the 3rd anti-codon position. NCBI's taxonomy places the organism in Eukaryota, Metazoa, Chordata, Mammalia, Artiodactyla, Bovidae. The record is from Rfam.
UCCCUGGUGAUCCAGUGGUUAAGACUCUGUGCUGCCAACACAGAGGGCAUGGGUUCAAUUCCCAGUUGGGGAA